CUUGUAAUAUUAGUUGUAGUUUGUUAUGCAAUCGGCCCCAGGUACAUUCAUUGUGAUCAUUGAAAAACUGACUCUAGUCCUUUUCGCUCUGACAUAAAUCUUUUCGCCCCUUUAAAAAUGCCACAAACCUACACAGCCUAACUAGAUAGGAACUGUAAUAUUCUGUCCCUAACUACAACACAUUACUCAUCUCCAUACGAAUAUUUCCGAGUUAAUCUUUUAAAAAAUAUUAAAAUUAAACUUAUUAAUAAGUGAAACGAUUUCGAGAAAUUACACACAUCUUUAUAGCAGAAGCCAGGAAAUUAACCUUUUCGCCGCCAUUGGCUCGAUAUAAAGUCAGUUCAGUACAUUUCGUACCCCACACGCCACGACUUCAUGUCAAGUCGUGGUUUUGGUCAGGUUUGUUUACGUGCAACUUUUGACAUGGCUUAAUGACACUAUUACUUAAUUGACGCGGCGGCGAAAAGAUUACUAGUUCUUCAAAAAGGACAUUUUGUAAGAUUAUCACGAAGAAAAUGUAAGACUUAAAAUUCAUAAGUUAAACUAGCUGCGAUGUCCAUGAAGUGUCCGAACUGAUUUAUAAUUGAUACAAUUAAGAAAUAGUAAAAACAUAAUUGUUUAAAUUUAAGAUUUUGUCAAUUCGUAACGAAAAUGAACAGAUAACUAUCAGCCGUAAAUACAAACUAAAAACAACGGGCAAACAUAUUUACGUAUUAAAGUCUAAAAACUUAUGAUUAUAAUUCUAUAUUACAGACUCGACUUAAUCCAUAUAUCACUCCUUCGAAUGUCAACUUAGGACAUGGUGAUGAAAAA
This is a long non-coding RNA of Cydia splendana, 813 nucleotides long. RefSeq lists it as uncharacterized. The transcript is spliced from 2 exons. The record is from RefSeq and is a predicted model, not a curated record. NCBI's taxonomy places the organism in Eukaryota, Metazoa, Arthropoda, Insecta, Lepidoptera, Tortricidae.